This 504-nucleotide ribosomal RNA is filed under the name uncultured bacterium. RNAcentral describes it as "partial 16S ribosomal RNA". It matches the Rfam family "Bacterial small subunit ribosomal RNA", at positions 30 to 523 of the family's 1533-position model. The record is from RNAcentral.
AUUGAACGCUGGCGGCACGCCUAACACAUGCAAGUCGAGCGGCAGCAUGCUUAGUAGCAAUACUAAGUGAUGGCGAGCGGCGGACGGGUGAGGAACACGUAGGAACCUGCCCAAGAGAGGGGGAUAACUAAGGGAAACUUUAGCUAAUACCGCAUAAUCUCUGAGGAGAAAAGUUGCCCGUAAGGGUAGCGCUUUUGGAGGGGCCUGCGUCCGAUUAGUUAGUUGGUGAGGUAAUGGCUCACCAAGACGAUGAUCGGUAACUGGUCUGAGAGGACGACCAGUCACACUGGGACUGAGACACGGCCCAGACUCCUACGGGAGGCAGCAGUGGGGAAUCUUGGACAAUGGGGGCAACCCUGAUCCAGCGAUGCCGCGUGGGUGAAGAAGGCCUUCGGGUUGUAAAGCCCUUUAGGCUGGGAAGAAGAGUGCGGGGUGAAUAAUCCUGUACUUUGACGGUACCAGCAGAAUAAGCACCGGCAAACUCUGUGCCAGCAGCCGCAGUAA